RNAcentral lists this ribosomal RNA (465 nucleotides) under Vreelandella stevensii. Its description in RNAcentral is "partial 16S ribosomal RNA". It matches the Rfam family "Bacterial small subunit ribosomal RNA", at positions 338 to 795 of the family's 1533-position model. Lineage: Bacteria; Pseudomonadati; Pseudomonadota; Gammaproteobacteria; Oceanospirillales; Halomonadaceae. The record is from RNAcentral.
CCUACGGGGGGCAGCAGUGGGGAAUAUUGGACAAUGGGGGCAACCCUGAUCCAGCCAUGCCGCGUGUGUGAAGAAGGCCCUCGGGUUGUAAAGCACUUUCAGUGAGGAAGAACGCCUGGUGGUUAAUACCCAUCAGGAAAGACAUCACUCACAGAAGAAGCACCGGCUAACUCCGUGCCAGCAGCCGCGGUAAUACGGAGGGUGCGAGCGUUAAUCGGAAUUACUGGGCGUAAAGCGCGCGUAGGUGGCUUGAUAAGCCGGUUGUGAAAGCCCCGGGCUCAACCUGGGAACGGCAUCCGGAACUGUCAAGCUAGAGUGCAGGAGAGGAAGGUGGAAUUCCCGGUGUAGCGGUGAAAUGCGUAGAGAUCGGGAGGAAUACCAGUGGCGAAGGCGGCCUUCUGGACUGACACUGACACUGAGGUGCGAAAGCGUGGGUAGCAAACAGGAUUAGAUACCCGGGUAGUC